UGAUCCCUGGAAAGAGGCGAUCGCUAUAAAUUGAACAAGAGAAACUAUCCUAAUGACAAUGUGGAAACGGGGUCCCACCGAGUUUCGACUCUGCUAUGGCUCGUAUGUCCUCAAGAUGCUCUACUCAUCUUGCUUUCUGAAGUGGAUGAUUAGUCGAUCUUUUACCUUCGAAGAUUGCCGGAUUGAAUGAAACGGUGAUAUAACACGGAUGAACUCAGAUUGCAGUUAUUCGCUUAUUCCCUAACUUUU
Molecule: long non-coding RNA, 249 nt
Filed under: Lathyrus oleraceus (garden pea)
Lineage: Eukaryota; Viridiplantae; Streptophyta; Magnoliopsida; Fabales; Fabaceae
Description: Pisum sativum (pea) long non-coding RNA (PSAT_LNC035300)
Source: RNAcentral